AUUCCAGCUCCAAUAGCGUAUAUUAAAGUUGUUGCAGUUAAAAAGCUCGUAGUUGGAUUUCGGGAUGGGUCAGUUGGUCCGCCUCACGGUGUGUUACUGACUGGUCUGUUCUUCUUCGCAAAGACUGUGUAUUCUCUUCAUUGAGUGUGCUCAGGAUUUACGACGUUUACUUUGAAAAAAUUAGAGUGUUCAAAGCAGGCCUACCGCUUGAAUACAUGAGCAUGGAAUAGUGGAAUAGGACUUUGGUCUUAUUUUGUUGGUUUCUAAGACCGAAGUAAUGAUUAAGAGGGACAGUUGGGGGCAUUAGUAUUUCGUUGUCAGAGGUGAAAUUCUUGGAUUUACGAAAGACUAACAACUGCGAAAGCAUUUGCCAAGAAUGUUUUCAUCA
Molecule: ribosomal RNA, 388 nt
Filed under: Aglaura sp.
Lineage: Eukaryota; Metazoa; Cnidaria; Hydrozoa; Trachymedusae; Rhopalonematidae
Description: partial small subunit ribosomal RNA
Rfam family: Eukaryotic small subunit ribosomal RNA
Source: RNAcentral